RNAcentral lists this ribosomal RNA (406 nucleotides) under uncultured Acidobacteriota bacterium. Its description in RNAcentral is "bacterial SSU rRNA". It matches the Rfam family "Bacterial small subunit ribosomal RNA", at positions 1054 to 1457 of the family's 1533-position model. The record is from RNAcentral. Lineage: Bacteria; Pseudomonadati; Acidobacteriota.
GUCAGCUCGUGUCGUGAGAUGUUGGGUUAAGUCCCGCAACGAGCGCAACCCUUGCCCUUAGUUGCCAUCAGGUAAUGCUGGGAACCCUAAGGGAACUGUCGGCGAAAAGCCGGAGGAAGGUGGGGAUGACGUCAAGUCCUCAUGGCCCUUACGUCCUGGGCUACACACGUGCUACAAUGGCAGGUACAAAGGGUCGCCAACCCGCGAGGGGGAGCUAAUCCCAAAAAACCUGUCCCAGUUCGGAUUGCAGUCUGCAACUCGACUGCAUGAAGGCGGAAUCGCUAGUAAUCGCAGAUCAGCAUGCUGCGGUGAAUACGUUCCCGGGCCUUGUACACACCGCCCGUCACAUCACGAAAGUGGGUUGUACUAGGAAUCGCUGAGCUAACUCGUAAGAGAGGCAGGCGCU